RNAcentral lists this ribosomal RNA (301 nucleotides) under uncultured bacterium. RNAcentral's name for it is "partial 16S ribosomal RNA". It matches the Rfam family "Bacterial small subunit ribosomal RNA", at positions 509 to 807 of the family's 1533-position model. The record is from RNAcentral.
CAGCCGCCGCGGGAAUACGAAGGGGGCUAGCGUUGUUCGGAAUUACUGGGCGUAAAGGGCGCGUAGGCGGCCAUUCAAGUUAGAUGUGAAAUCCCCGGGCUUAACCUGGGAACUGCAUUUGUGACUGGCGAGCUAGAGUAUGGCAGAGGGGGGUAGAAUUCCACGUGUAGCAGUGAAAUGCGUAGAGAUGUGGAGGAAUACCGACGGCGAAGGCAGCCCCCUGGGCCAAUACUGACGCUCAUGCACGAAAGCGUGGGGAGCAAACAGGAUUAGAUACCCGCGUAGUCCCUGUCUCUUAUAC